This 433-nucleotide ribosomal RNA is filed under the name uncultured bacterium. RNAcentral's name for it is "bacterial SSU rRNA". It matches the Rfam family "Bacterial small subunit ribosomal RNA", at positions 29 to 506 of the family's 1533-position model. The record is from RNAcentral.
ACGAACGCUGGCGGCAGGCCUAACACAUGCAAGUCGAACGCUCGUAGCAAUACGGGAGUGGCAGACGGGUGAGUAACGCGUGGGAACGUGCCCUUUGGUUCGGAACAACUCCGGGAAACUGGAGCUAAAACCGGAUAAGCCCUACGGGGGAAAGAUUUAUCGCCGAAGGAUCGGCCCGCGUCUGAUUAGCUAGUUGGUGAGGUAACGGCCCACCAAGGCGACGAUCAGUAGCUGGUCUGAGAGGAUGAUCAGCCACACUGGGACUGAGACACGGCCCAGACUCCUACGGGAGGCAGCAGUGGGGAAUAUUGGACAAUGGGCGCAAGCCUGCUCCAGCCAUGCCGCGUGAGUGAUGAAGGCCUUAGGGUUGUAAAGCUCUUUCGCGCGCGAGGAUAAUGCCGGUAGCCCGAGAAUAAGCCCCGGCUACCUUCGU